UACGUAGGACCCAAGCGUUAUCCGGAGUGACUGGGCGUAAAGAGUUGCGUAGGUGGCUUGUAAAGUGAAUAGUGAAAUCUGGGGGCUCAACCUCACAGGCUAUUAUUCAAACUCACAAGCUCGAGAACAGCAGAGGUAACUGGAAUUUCUGAAGUAGGGGUAAUAUCCGUAGAUAUCAGAAGGAACACCAAUGGCGUAGGCAGGUUACUGGGCUGUUUCUGACACUGAGGCACGAAAGCGUGGGGAGCGAACCGGAUUAGAUCCCUAGUAGUCC
This 274-nucleotide ribosomal RNA is filed under the name uncultured prokaryote. RNAcentral's name for it is "partial 16S ribosomal RNA". It matches the Rfam family "Bacterial small subunit ribosomal RNA", at positions 524 to 796 of the family's 1533-position model. The record is from RNAcentral.